RNAcentral lists this transfer RNA (76 nucleotides) under Candidatus Pacearchaeota archaeon. Its description in RNAcentral is "tRNA-Arg". It matches the Rfam family "tRNA". From Rfam's summary of the family: Transfer RNA (tRNA) molecules are approximately 80 nucleotides in length. Their secondary structure includes four short double-helical elements and three loops (D, anti-codon, and T loops). Further hydrogen bonds mediate the characteristic L-shaped molecular structure. tRNAs have two regions of fundamental functional importance: the anti-codon, which is responsible for specific mRNA codon recognition, and the 3' end, to which the tRNAs corresponding amino acid is attached (by aminoacyl-tRNA synthetases). tRNAs cope with the degeneracy of the genetic code in two manners: having more than one tRNA (with a specific anti-codon) for a particular amino acid; and 'wobble' base-pairing, i.e. permitting non-standard base-pairing at the 3rd anti-codon position. Lineage: Archaea; Nanobdellati. The record is from RNAcentral.
GCCCUUGUAGCUCAGCAUGGAUUAGAGCACAAGAUUCCUAAUCUUGGUGUCGUAGGUUCAAAUCCUACCAAGGGCG